GAAGAGAGUUGUUAAUAAUUGUCAAAACAAAUAAAUCACAUUAUUACAUGCGAUCGUAAUGCAGCUAACAAGGAUCAGGACGUGGAAAAUAUAGAUAAUAUAGCAGUAAAUGUUGAUGAAAAAAUAAAGUCAAAUCAUAGACAACGGAGCAGAAAAACAAAGAUGUUGAUUGAAAGAAAAAAAAAACAUCAGGAUGAUAGUAAAUAACAGUGACGAUAAUGAAGAGGACAUAAAUAGAUGGAAAUGAUCAGGAAAAUUAAAUCUGAGAAUUAGAUCCGAAUAAACCUGAAAACAGAAGUGACAACAAUUAACUCAAGAAGCAGGUAGAAGGUAAAAAGAUUUAUUAAUUAAUUGGUCAAUGGGUUCUGAGGCAAGUAAAUUCAGAGUGUGGAGAGAAUCAAGUAAAUUAAUUUUUAAAAUUUGAUGAUUUCAUUAUGACUACGGUGAGUGUGAAUGUUACCCAUCAGACGAAUUUGAAAUUAAA
Molecule: long non-coding RNA, 484 nt
Organism: Microplitis mediator
Lineage: Eukaryota; Metazoa; Arthropoda; Insecta; Hymenoptera; Braconidae
Exons: 3
Source: RefSeq, a predicted model, not a curated record